CCUACGGGGGGCUGCAGUGGGGAAUAUUGGGCAAUGGGCGAAAGCCUGACCCAGCAACGCCGCGUGAGGGAAGAAGGUUUUCGGAUUGUAAACCUCUGUCCUUGGGGACGAAGAAAGUGACGGUACCCAAGGAGGAAGCCCCGGCUAACUACGUGCCAGCAGCCGCGGUAAUACGUAGGGGGCAAGCGUUGUCCGGAAUUACUGGGCGUAAAGGGUGCGUAGGCGGUUUUUUAAGUCAGAUGUGAAAUCCCCGGGCUUAACUCGGGUGUUGCAUUUGAAACUGGGAGACUAGAGUGCAGGAGAGGGAAGCGGAAUUCCUAGUGUAGCGGUGAAAUGCGUAGAUAUUAGGAGGAACACCAGUGGCGAAGGCGGCUUUCUGGACUGUAACUGACGCUGAGGCACGAAAGCGUGGGGAGCAAACAGGAUUAGAUACCCCAGUAGUC
RNAcentral lists this ribosomal RNA (443 nucleotides) under uncultured bacterium. RNAcentral describes it as "partial 16S ribosomal RNA". It matches the Rfam family "Bacterial small subunit ribosomal RNA", at positions 338 to 795 of the family's 1533-position model. The record is from RNAcentral.